AGCUCCAUACAAUGGCAGUAUUGUAGCUACCAAAGGUUUAUCUGAAGCACAAUUAUUGAUAAUUGAAAAGAAUUUUAGUGUAAUGUAACAGUAAUGGUACCCUACUCCAGUACUCUUGCCUGGAAACUCCCAUGGAUGGAG
This 141-nucleotide small nuclear RNA is filed under the name Ovis aries (sheep). Its description in RNAcentral is "U4 spliceosomal RNA (ENSOARG00000022086.1)". The record is from RNAcentral. Lineage: Eukaryota; Metazoa; Chordata; Mammalia; Artiodactyla; Bovidae.